This 7413-nucleotide long non-coding RNA is filed under the name Paramuricea clavata. The record is from RNAcentral. Lineage: Eukaryota; Metazoa; Cnidaria; Anthozoa; Malacalcyonacea; Plexauridae.
CAUGUAUCAGCAAGGCUACUGUAAUGCACAAAAUAUAUGUACCAGCUUGGGACAUGCCUGUAGUUGGUUAAAGAAUCAAUCUAUUCUGAAUAGACAAUUAAAAACCUACAAUUUUGUUUCAAUUACUGUAAGCUGUUGUCUACCAAGGUGAAAGAAAUCAAUGAGGAUUUUCUCUAAAAUUAAAUUUUGACCAUAAUUCAUUCAUAAGUUAUUUUAGCAAAUCAUGUCAACCAUAAUAUGGUACAUGAAAUGGUUUCAUAAUCAUACCCGAUGAAACUAAACAUCAUUCUAACUAGUAUUCUGUUCAUACAAACAUGAUGCAUGGUAUCUGGGGGUAGGGAUAGAACCUGCCAGAUAUGGUAGGGUAUGUGUGUGCGCAUUGAUCUAUGGUCAUGAUUUGGAGUGCAACCUGUUGGCCAAGUUCAUAAUCAUUUGAAGCUAUGAACAACAGUGUUCCGUAGAAUGGGUGAAACAUUGCCCUGGAAUGGGCUGGAAGGGUCCAGGGUGAAUUAUUGUGGUAACAUUUAGUGACAAGAUAUUGCCCUUCCAAAUUGAAAUAAUGGGUUUGAUAUUAAAUUUGGCAUCCCCCUUUCACCCACCCCUCUUUGGGAGUGUGCACCCCUCAGUAAAUCUAUCCCUGUCUGGGGGUAUGUAGCCCAUCCACUUUGUCAUCCACCACACAGUAAUACAAAGUCUAGGAUACAGUAUUUAUAUAUUUACUCCUCUAUUUAUUGCAUACGUUUCAGUAAAAUGCUCUGUGUAUUCAUGGACAAGGUUGGCAUUGGUUAUCAUGGCUUUCAUAAGUUUUCGCUUAUGAAACUAUUUCAUAAUUAAAAUAGUAGACUUUAGUAUACCUAAUUGGGUGUAAUAUUUAAAGCACGUUUAGGAGUGUAUGCUGUAAUUCAAAUAAUACUUUACAUGCCAUCUCAUUAGUGUUUGUAUGUAGGGUAUACUAAUUAGAGAGAUAUUUAGUUUCAUUGGGUAUGAAACCAAUUUCACGUAACAUACACGUAUUAUGGUUGACAUGAUUUGCAAAAAACUUAUGAAUUACGAGUGUUUGAAUUAUGUUUAAUAUCCUCCUUACUCCCACGCUUUAUAAUCAUAUUUCGCGUUUUAAUUUGACACCAGUUUAUCCGUACCCUUCCGUACCAGGCACCAUCAUGAUAUUUGAAAAUAUGUCAUGCACAUGCCUAUCCACGUGUCUAGUUUACACCAAUAAGAGGGUGCGAAAUUUUGGCGCAAAGUACAUGGAUCUAAACUAAAAGACAGUUGAUAAUUGUGCUCUAUCUCGCUCGAAGCAGUUCGGUACUGAAGUACAUAAACAUUCUCCGCUUUGCGUCUGGGAUAUCCUCAAAGGUCAAAGUGAAAGCUACUAUGUUACGCGAACUGUAUCAAGAUUCAGUACGAUUGUAGAAGGUAAGCUCAAUUAUGCUUUUAAUAUAAAUAUGUAUUCGUGUUUACCCAUACACUUGGCUCUAAGAUAUCAUGUCUUAAAUCGUUAAAUCGUAGAACCAUUUUGUUCUGUUGUCUAACUUUGUCCACUGUUUAUGUUGCUCUUCCUAUUAUUGGAUCUAUUAAAAGUACAUGGUAAUUGCAGUCUGCGUUCUUGUUCAAACUAAAUAAAAUAUAAUUGCAAAAUAUCUUGGUGCGCAUUCACGCAAUUAUUCGCGCAAUUAAAUGAUAUAUUUAUUGUUCAUAUAACCAAUUGCCGCGUACUACACUAAUUAUCGUAUGUUUAUUGCGUUAUUUACAGGGUGCGCAAAUAUAAAUUGCUGAAUGAUAUACUGUAUAUUCUACACAGAAUGCAUGUAAGUAAAUCGGCCUCAUUUGGCGCUCGUUCAACUUGCAUCAGUGGAAAUUUGUUUCACGCCUUUAUCACUGGUACAUCAUUUAAUUCUUGUAGGAGCUAUAGUGUACACCAAAGCUUGCGUCAAACACGUUACGAAAUCUUUCUCGUAUUCAACAAGCAAACGUGGUCGUUGUGCAAAGGCUUUUUUGUGUAUUAUGUACAGUAUUAUCUGGGUGUCAAAGGAAUUUGAGCUUGCCUUUUAGUUUAGUUUAGGUAUGCCAAAUAUGUUGCGUGCUUGCCUGAAGGUCACGGUCACACUAAAAAACGUACAUGUUGCUUGCUAUAUUUUGCAAUAAUUUUAUAUAUGUACUGUCUAUGCAGAAAGCGGCUUUAUACAGUACUCGCUGUAUAUCGAUUAUUAACGAUUCAGCCAGAUGUAGAAAUAGGCUCGAUAACUAAAAAAAUCGUAAGUCAACAAUAUGUCAAUAUACAGUACUUGAACAGAAUUCGUUGAUUGCAUGCCAUACCAACUAAAUUUUGUUAUUGUAUUCGGUUGCAUGUGCGCAUUUUGGGUUCAAGCAAGCAUUCUAGCAUAACUGUCACCGCGAGUCUGCGACCUUACAAAGUAAUUAAAGAUUAUAGAUUCAAUACCUUCGCUUCAAAGCAUGUCCCCUGGAUUUUCUAGCAAGUGGACAAAUUCCCCCCUGGAAAGUGACUCAUAACAAAUUUCAUUCCCUAUCUGCCCCCAACUCAUUAAAGUUCAACAAUUAUAGCUAAAAAUACAAUCUAAUUUCAGGAAUGAUGAAAGUUUUUCCCAAGACAAACAUAUUAAAUGAGGAAAAGAGUCCCAAAGAUAAAAAUCUGGUGUUCAUAUAAGGUAUAUGUUAAGUUUAUCAUUUACAGUAUUCAAAUAAAUAUUAAUAAAAUUAAUCCAGGUAUAUCAAUAAUAAUUAAUUAAGUGGAUCCCUAAAAACCCAACAUUCAUGAAGUCCAAAAGAUCACCUCUGGAACUGCCAACAUAUAUGGGAAAGAGUUUAAAAUCAGACAUUCACUUAUCACAAGUAUCUACAGUAUAGUAUACUGUAGGUUAGACCUGCCAUUUUUAUAAUAGUAUAAUAAGAAUUAAUAAAAAUAAAAUAUAUUAACAUAAAAUAGAUAAUAUUUUUCCAUUUUAAACCUUAUUGCUAAGUGUUAUCUCUCUCUCUGUUCUCUACGACCAUACUAAUUGGCAUGGAUUUUGAUGCUGUAUAAUAACAGUUGAAUAAUAUAUAGGAUAAUAACAGUUGAUAAUAUAUAGGAUUUUGAAAUGUCUCUAUACAUGCUGAAGUUUUGAGUUGGCACGACUAGAAACAGAACGUGAGGCGGCACGCCUUGCGAAGUAUAGGGAAAUUUUAGCAAUCUUAUGUAUUAAAUAUGCAUGUAUAUUGACUGGCGUACAUCAAGUUUUGUUGCCAUGCUGAAUUUUUGGGUUGGCACGACCUGAAACAGAGCGUGAGGCGGCACGCCUUGCGAAGGCAACAAUCCUUGUUAUAUGUCAAUACGUCAACAAAAAUGCAUGAUUUUGAGAUAGUUCAACAGAACUACCAUUCAAAAACCCUUUAUAUAUAUUAAAGUUUUUUCGACACGUUGGAGAGAACUGUGAGAAAUAUACCACUUAUCUGGAAUUAUAACCAUUAUACAGAUUGUUGUAGAUUAUAGUAUAUAACUAUUAAAGAUUGAUCCGCAUGUACAUGGAAAAAAGUGUGGAUUAAUUAAAUGAGAAAAAGAGUCCAAAAAUAUUUAUCUGGUGUUUAGAUAAAGUAUAUAUUUUAAGUUUAUCAUGAUAUCAGCAAAUAAAUAAAAUAAUAUUAAAUUAUUAAUAAAAUUAAUCUACAGAUAUUUAUAAUAAUUAAGUGAAUCCUUAGAAACCCAACAUUCAUAAAGUCCAAAAGAUCACCUUCUUUGGAACUGCCCACAUAUGGGAAAGAGUUUAAAAUCAGACAUUCACUUUAUUAUCUAUAGUAUAGGUUGGACCAGCCUGGUGUUAGAGGAAUUUUUAUAAUAAGAUUGUAUAGUAAGAAUUAAUAAAAAUAAAAUAUAUUAACAUAAAAUAGAUAUCUUUCAAUUUUAAACCUUAUUGCUAAGUGUUAUCUCUCUCUGUUCUCUACGACCAUACUGAUUGGCAUGGAUUUUGAUGCUGUAUAAUAACAGUUGAAGUGAAAGAUGAUAAUAUAUAGGAUUUUGAAAUGACUCUAUACAUGCUGAAGUUUUGAGUUGGCACGACUUGAAACAGAACGUGAGGCGGCACGCCUUGCGAAGUAUAGGGAAAUUUUAGCAAUCUUAUGUAUUAAAUAUGCAUGUAUAUUGACUGGCGUACAUCAAGUUUUGUUGCCAUGCUGAAUUUUUGGGUUGGCACGACCUGAAACAGAGCGUGAGGCGGCACGCCUUGCGAAGGCAACAAUCCUUGUUAUAUGUCAAUACGUCAACAAAAAUGCAUGAUUUUGAGAUAGUUCAACAGAACUACCAUUCAAAAACCCUUUAUAUAUAUUAAAGUUUUUUCGACACGUUGGAGAGAACUGCGAGAAAUAUACCACUUAUCUGGAAUUAUAACCAUUAUACAGAUUGUUGUAGAUUAUAGUAUAUAACUAUUAAAGAUUGAUCCGCAUGUACAUGGAAAAAAGUGUGGAUUAAUUAAAUGAGAAAAAGAGUCCAAAAAUAUUUAUCUGGUGUUUAGAUAAAGUAUAUAUUUUAAGUUUAUCAUGAUAUCAGCAAAUAAAUAAAAUAAUAUUAAAUUAUUAAUAAAAUUAAUCUACAGAUAUUUAUAAUAAUUAAGUGAAUCCUUAGAAACCCAACAUUCAUAAAGUCCAAAAGAUCACCUUCUUUGGAACUGCCCACAUAUGGGAAAGAGUUUAAAAUCAGACAUUCACUUUAUUAUCUAUAGUAUAGGUUGGACCAGCCUGGUGUUAGAGGAAUUUUUAUAAUAAGAUCGUAUAGUAAGAAUUAAUAAAAAUAAAAUAUAUUAACAUAAAAUAGAUAUCUUUCAAUUUUAAACCUUAUUGCUAAGUGUUAUCUCUCUCUGUUCUCUACGACCAUACUGAUUGGCAUGGAUUUUGAUGCUGUAUAAUAACAGUUGAAGUGAAAGAUGAUAAUAUAUAGGAUUUUGAAAUGACUCUAUACAUGCUGAAGUUUUGAGUUGGCACGACUUGAAACAGAACGUGAGGCGGCACGCCUUGCGAAGUAUAGGGAAAUUUUAGCGAUCUUAUGUAUUAAAUAUGCAUGUAUAUUGACUGGCGUACAUCAAGUUUUGUUGCCAUGCUGAAUUUUUGGGUUGGCACGACCUGAAACAGAGCGUGAGGCGGCACGCCUUGCGAAGGCGACAAUCCUUGUUAUAUGUCAAUACGUCAACAAAAAUGCAUGAUUUUAAGAUAGUUCAACAGAACUACCAUUCAAAAACCCUUUAUAUAUAUUAAAGUUUUUUCGACACGUUGGAGAGAACUGCAAGAAAUAUACCACUUAUCCGGAAUUAUAACCAUUAUACAGAUUGUUGUAGAUUAUAUAGUAUAUAACUAUUAAAGAUUGAUCCCCAUACAUGGAAAAAGUGUGGAUUAAUUAAAUUAGGAAAAGAGUCCAAAAAUAUAAAUCUGGUGUUUAGGUAAGGUAUAUAUUUUAAGUUUAUCAUGCUAUCAGCAAAUAAAUAAAAUAAUAUUAAAUUAUUAAUAAAAUUAGUCUACAGAUAUUAAUAAUAAUUAAGUGAAUCCCUAAAAACCCAACAUUCAUGAAGUACCUUCUUUGGAACUGCCCACAUAUGGAAAGAGUUUAAAAUCAGACAUUCACUUUAGUAUCUAUAGUAUAUAAUAGGAUGGACCCGCCUGGUGUUAGAUGAAUUUUUAUAAUAAGAUUGUAUAAUAAGAAUUAAUAUUUUAAAUAAAAUAUAUUAACAUAAAUAGAUAAUAUUUUUCAAUUUUAGACCUUAUUACUAAGUGUUGUCUCUCUCUGUUCUCUAUGCCCAUGUAUACUAUGAACUAUACUAUAUAUAUAUAUAUAUAUAUAUAUAUAUAUAUAUAUAUAUAUAUAUAUAUAUAUAUAUAUAUAUAUAUAUAUAUAUAUAUAUAUAUAUCGCUCUAUGGCCUUUAGGUCAUAUCGAGCGCUCUACAGGAUGAGCCAUGCCGCUUACGCAUUGCGCACGCUCACUGCUUGCAGUUUGAGCGCUCUGGCAUGGUUUUGAUGUCCCACAAUCGUGAGGCAUCAAAGGCAACUAUAAAUAAGAGUUACUUUCAUCCUGCUCAUCAGCACUACACUGAUGAGGCCCAUUAGGCCGAAACGNNNNNNNNNNNNNNNNNNNNUGCCCACAUAUGGAAAGAGUUUAAAAUCAGACAUUCACUUUAGUAUCUAUAGUAUAUAAUAGGAUGGACCCGCCUGGUGUUAGAUGAAUUUUUAUAAUAAGAUUGUAUAAUAAAAAUAUAAUUUAAAUAAAAUAUAUUAACAUAAAUAGAUAAUAUUUUUCAGUUUUAGACCUUAUUACUAAGUGUUGUGUCUCUCUGUUCUCUAUGCCCAUGUAUACUAUGAACUAUACUAUACUAUAUAUAUAUAUAUAUAUAUAUAUAUAUAUAGUGUAGAACUGCUCUUAGUACUCUGAUGAAGGUUGCAGUUAGCAACCGAAAAUUUAGAACUUUUUUAGACUUUUUAUUGUACAUAUUCUAGUAUUUUAAAAAGAAUUUUAGACCAGCUUCAACUCCAAAACUAUCAUAUAUAUAUAUAUAUAUAUAUAUAUAUAUAUAUAUAUAUAUAUAAUAUACCGCUAAUUACCAGAAAUUAUAACCAUUAUUCAGAUUGGUGUAGAUUAUAGUAUAUAACUAUUAAAGGUCGAUCCCCAUACAGUGGAAAAAGUGUAUGCAAACCGCUCACAGUCUGAUGAAUCCCCCCAUGCAUACGUGCAUUAUUAUCAUGACAUGAACUCAAUGACAAUGCAUUUGAUGUUAUUUUUAUCUUAUGUAUAAGGCCUACGUGCAGCUUGGGAAACACUAUAUACAACUGCUUCGAAUCAGUCAGCUGAAGGAUGGGGUUAUUGAAUAUCGAACAGUAAGUAUAUAUAACUAGUGCUUUAAUUACACGCCCCAAACCUCGGUAAAGCAAGAAUUUACAGCUAGGUUUUGUUAUCUGGUGUGAUAACGUUUUUACGCCUGAAUUUUGCAUAAGGGUUUUGUCUUCUUAAAUGUUUCGUUUUAUAUGAACAUUGCCAAAAUGAUAUUAAUUUGAAUAGCAGUGCCCAGUUCACAAAAUCCGAAAGAUCACCAAACCAAAGCAUAGAUACAAAAAUCUUCAAAAUUUAGAAGUAUAAGAGUACAUUCGUGCAAGAAAAUAACAAUUUUACCCUCUGCCUUUUAUAGAAAUAUUGGAAUUGCAAACUUUGGUCAUGCACAUUCUCAUUUUGGUCGCUAUCCAGAUUGAUGAUUGAAGACCCUUGCAGUAUAUAUACAGUACUUAAAAUCCAGGAGCAAGAAUAUCUAUAUAUACAGCGUGUCAUAUAAAACAUGCAUGCAUUGUGCUUUCCCCGUGAUUAAGCCUAUAAUUUUAACUUGUGUAUAUCUGUAACUGUGUAUAAAAACAAGAUGAAACAAAUGCUUUGUGAAACGUGACUAAUAAAA